AUCAGUUUUGGCAGACAUGUUGGAAGGGUUGACCAUAUAGAAAAGAUUCGCCUGCAGUUAUAUACUGGAUUAUCAGGAUUAUAAUGGAACCCUUGUCCCAUUGAUAGAGGUGUAAAUUCAUCCAGCAUGUCUGAUGUCCAGAAAUGGGAUAAUUAAACGAAUGGAAACCAAGAACGUGUUUGUUGUAACGCCUCUGCCCAAAUCCCAUCCCUAUUUCAUUUGGACUGUGAAUACACUAUGAAGACAACCAUUCUCGUGCAACCAGUCAGCUGAUUUCACACACAAUGACCACUGCUACGCACUGUACCGUUUCUGAGAAGAGUUAUCUCCCCUUCUCCGAGAUUCCGUAUGUACAAUUAUCAUUAUUUUUAAUUUUUAAUUUCA
Mizuhopecten yessoensis (Yesso scallop) is the source of this 384-nucleotide long non-coding RNA. RefSeq lists it as uncharacterized. The transcript has 3 exons. Lineage: Eukaryota; Metazoa; Mollusca; Bivalvia; Pectinida; Pectinidae. The record is from RefSeq and is a predicted model, not a curated record.